Long non-coding RNA from Micropterus salmoides (largemouth bass), 275 nucleotides. RefSeq lists it as uncharacterized. The record is from RefSeq and is a predicted model, not a curated record. The transcript has 2 exons. NCBI's taxonomy places the organism in Eukaryota, Metazoa, Chordata, Actinopteri, Centrarchiformes, Centrarchidae.
CUGAGCUCCAGGUUUUCCCACCUGAAGCACAUCCGCAAUCAGCACAUCAGGGCCUCCGCCUGCAAUCAACACACCUUUAAGAGACCAGCCAACCUUCCAGUCCCCGUCGGAUCGUUGUACCUCACAGACACCUGCACACGCACCACGCGGAUUCCCUCCUGUGCCCCGGAAUCAUCGAAGCUCGGGGACCAGAACCACAUGCCCUCGGAACGACCACCUCACCCCAACCUCUCCCGGGUCACCCUUGUGCACAAUAAACCACUUCUGUUCAUUCU